AACGAACGCUGGCGGCAUGCUUAAUACAUGCAAGUCGAACGAGAAAGUUCCUUCGGGAAUGAGUAUAGUGGCGCACGGGUGAGUAACACGUAGGUGACCUACCUCUAAGUCGGGGACAACAUCGGGAAACCGAUGCUAAUACCGGAUGUGGUAAUCGAAUUUGAAAAUAGAUUACUAAAGACAGCCUCUGCAUAUGCAGUUGCUUGGAGAAGGGCCUGCGGUACAUUAGCUUGAUGGUGGGGUAAUGGCCUACCAUGGCUACGAUGUAUAGGGGGUCUGAGAGGAUGAUCCCCCACACUGGAACUGAGACACGGUCCAGACUCCUACGGGAGGCAGCAGUAGGGAAUAUUGCGCAAUGGGCGAAAAGCCUGACGCAGCAAAUGCCGCGUGAGUGAGG
RNAcentral lists this ribosomal RNA (397 nucleotides) under uncultured bacterium. RNAcentral's name for it is "bacterial SSU rRNA". It matches the Rfam family "Bacterial small subunit ribosomal RNA", at positions 29 to 410 of the family's 1533-position model. The record is from RNAcentral.